GCCACCGGGCCGCCUAAUCCUGCCAACCCGACUGGUCCCCUGAGUCAGCACGGCAGGAGCGGGGGACCCACCGAUCCAUGGCCGCAUCAGCCUUGGGGUGAAGUCCUCGUGGUCCACGGACCACAGGGCGGAGUGAUCUCCACUCCAACCCGACAGCUAACUCCGUAGGCGUAGGAGAGACCCAUG
RNAcentral lists this small RNA (186 nucleotides) under Janibacter sp. Its description in RNAcentral is "c-di-AMP sequence". It matches the Rfam family "c-di-AMP riboswitch aptamer (ydaO/yuaA leader)", at positions 11 to 128 of the family's 134-position model. Rfam says of the family: This family represents a conserved RNA structure found upstream of the ydaO and yuaA genes in Bacillus subtilis and related genes in other bacteria. The ydaO/yuaA element is thought to act as a genetic "off" switch for the ydaO and yuaA genes in its native state. Lineage: Bacteria; Bacillati; Actinomycetota; Actinomycetes; Micrococcales; Intrasporangiaceae. The record is from RNAcentral.